AACGAACGCUGGCGGCAUGCCUAACACAUGCAAGUCGAACGAGAUCUUCGGGUCUAGUGGCGCACGGGUGCGUAACGCGUGGGAAUCUGCCCUUUGGUUCGGAAUAACAGUUGGAAACGACUGCUAAUACCGGAUGAUGACGAAAGUCCAAAGAUUUAUCGCCAGAGGAUGAGCCCGCGUAGGAUUAGUUAGUUGGUGUGGUAAAGGCGCACCAAGGCGACGAUCCUUAGCUGGUCUGAGAGGAUGAUCAGCUACACUGGGACUGAGACACGGCCCAGACUCCUACGGGAGGCAGCAGUGGGGAAUAUUGGACAAUGGGCGAAAGCCUGAUCCAGCAAUGCCGCGUGAGUGAUGAAGGCCUUAGGGUUGUAAAGCUCUUUUACCCGGGAUGAUAAUGACAGUACCGGGAGAAUAAGCUCCGGCUAACUCCGUGCCAGCCGCCGCAGUAA
This 449-nucleotide ribosomal RNA is filed under the name uncultured bacterium. RNAcentral describes it as "partial 16S ribosomal RNA". It matches the Rfam family "Bacterial small subunit ribosomal RNA", at positions 29 to 523 of the family's 1533-position model. The record is from RNAcentral.